CUACGGAGGGUCCAAGCGUUAUCCGGAAUCAUUGGGUUUAAAGGGUCCGCAGGCGGUCAAUUAAGUCAGAGGUGAAGGCCCAUCGCUCAACGAUGGAACUGCCUUUGAUACUGGUUGACUUGAGUUAUACGGAAGUAGAUAGAAUAAGUAGUGUAGCGGUGAAAUGCAUAGAUAUUACUUAGAAUACCGAUUGCGAAGGCAGUCUACUACGUAUAUACUGACGCUGAGGGACGAAAGCGUGGGGAGCGAACAGGAUUAGAAACCCUUGUAGUCC
This 274-nucleotide ribosomal RNA is filed under the name uncultured bacterium. RNAcentral's name for it is "partial 16S ribosomal RNA". It matches the Rfam family "Bacterial small subunit ribosomal RNA", at positions 523 to 796 of the family's 1533-position model. The record is from RNAcentral.